Pezoporus occidentalis (night parrot) is the source of this 7823-nucleotide RNA transcript. It is a transcript of the gene named myosin light chain kinase family member 4, with no coding region annotated. The transcript has 15 exons. Lineage: Eukaryota; Metazoa; Chordata; Aves; Psittaciformes; Psittacidae. The record is from RefSeq and is a predicted model, not a curated record.
CAUUUAAGGUCCUUGUAAGGACCCUUAUUCUCUUCAGAGCAGGGAUCACAUUACGUACUCAUACUACUUUUGAAAACCAACAACACCACUGCCAAAGCAUCUACCCUUAGAGACUUCUCAUGUAUCGUGUAGCCUUUUUGCUAUCAAAUUCCAUUGCAGUGCAAAUAGUUCAGUCCCUGCUAGGGCUGACGUCACUGAACUGAGUGCAUUUAGGAUAUGCAUUUCUAUAUUCACUUUAUUUGGAAACUGGCAUAUAUAUAUUUAAAAUUAUAUAUAGAUACAUAUAUGAGGAAAAAAAAAGGAUCAAAGGCAUUUUUCUUCCUAAAUAAUUUGGGUGUCUUUUUCCUCUGUUUUAGUCAAAUAUAUGAGAGUAGUUUAUAAAUUGGUUUACCUGGAGUUGCCAAACUUGGCUGUAUAUCUGAGCAGCCUGGAUGAGAAGCCUUUGCAACUGAUAUUGUCCUCAAGCAGCUGAUCAUCAGAGCAUUUCCUUCCCCUAUCCAAUCCAGCAAAAUGAGCACAUCCAGCAGGCAGAGCUCUUCUACGUCUAUGGUCAACAACUUGGCCAAAAUAUUCGAUCCAAAUGCUUUGCAAACCCAAGGGCCUGAUAAUGGAACGGAACCCCCCCAGAUUCUUCAUGUUGAAAGCAGUGAUGUCAGCACAUCUGAAAGUUUUAACAUCAUGGAUAUGAAGUUUGCCUCCCUCGAACAGAAAAUAGAUAAGCUGUUGAUUCUGCAAGACAGUGUUCUUAAGAAGCUUAACAGCGUUUCCCAAGAAAUCUGUUGCAUUGAAAAAGACAUUGAGAUUGUAAAGGCGGAAACAACUGAACCUGAAUCAAGGAUGGAAAGAAACAAAAGUCUGAGAAGUAAUGACAUGAAGAGGCUUUGCCUUAAAAUGAAAAAAUCUCUUUCUGAUAUGAACAGGAAUGCAGAGCAGCAGGUUAAAAGACUAGAUGGACUGGAGCAAAGUGUUUCUGGAUUACAGAAGCUUGUAGGGCCUCUGGUGGAGAAGGUUAAAACAUUAGUAAUUCGUAAUUCGAGUGUAAAACACCAUGUUCAAAAACGUAAACUCUGCAAGGCAGGUGAUUAUACAAAAGGAGCUGGACAUGUUUUUAGAAUGCACAUUUUCUCAGAGACGACAGCUGAUGCCCUGCUCAAGAAGAAAAGUGAAAAGGUCAUCAAAGAAAAGUCACAUGUUAAUGAAACGGGAAAAAAAGAGAAGAAGCCACCAGAUUCAACAGAGGGGGCCAUCCAAAAGAGUCAGUCCUGCUCUCAGGAAGAAGUUUGUAAGCUCAACAAGGAAAAUGCCAAGAGGGAAAGUUCUGUUCUGCUUCGAAUGGAUCCUUCCAAAUGUCAUAAUGAAGGGCCAGAGGAUAAAGGAGAAAGUUUGGCUUUUGAAGGCUAUUCCAAAUGUAGGAGAAGCUCUGUUCAGAAAUCCAUCACUGCAGAAAAGCAGCAAGAAGAUGUUGUUGAUGCUUGUGAAAGGAUAACGGGGCAGGAGGUAGAGAGUGAGCCUCCAGCAGAUGGGGAGAGGAAGGAGGAACAUCAGGUAUCUGGAGCUGAAAAACAAGAGAAGAAGGAGAAAGAAGGGGAGAAAAAUGCUGAUAAGAGUGAAAAAGAUGCUGAGGAACCACCAGCUCCUUCCCAAAAUGAAGAUGAGGCAGGACAAAGCGAUGAUGAAGAGGUACCAGAGGGAAGGUGUAAAGGCUGCGAAAAAGACAAUAGUCCUACUCCACCAGCACCAUUUGAUCACCGGAUUGUCUCAGCCAAAAGGGUGGGGAUCAGCAGUUAUUAUAACGUCAGUGAGAAUGAAAUCCUGGGAGGAGGACGAUUUGGUCAAGUGCAUAAAUGUGAAGAGAAAGCAACAGGUCUCAAGCUAGCAGCCAAAAUUAUAAAAGCAAAAGGUCCUAAACAGAAGGAUGAAGUAAAGAAUGAAAUCAGUGUCAUGAACCAGCUGAAUCAUGUGAACCUCAUCCAGCUGUAUGAUGCCUUUGAAUCUAAAAAUGACAUUGUACUAGUCAUGGAAUAUGUGGAAGGAGGAGAGUUAUUUGACCGAAUUAUUGAUGAAAACUGCAAUUUGACAGAGAUGGAUACUAUCUUGUUCAUAAAACACAUCUGCGAGGGAAUUCAGUACAUGCACCAAAUGUACAUUCUUCAUUUGGAUCUCAAGCCUGAGAAUAUCCUGUGUGUGAACAGAGCAGCAAAUCAAAUAAAAAUUAUUGAUUUUGGAUUGGCAAGAAGAUAUCAACCCAGGGAAAAACUUCGAGUUAACUUUGGGACUCCAGAAUUUCUUGCUCCUGAAGUUGUGAAUUAUGAGUGUGUCUCCUUUCCUACAGACAUGUGGAGUUUAGGGGUCAUUGCUUAUAUGCUCCUCAGUGGAUUGUCUCCUUUUUUGGGUGAUGAUGAUAAUGAGACCCUCAACAACAUCCUGUCCUGUAGCUGGGAUUUUGAAGAUGAGGAAUUUCGAGGUGUUUCUGAUCAGGCCAAAGAUUUCAUCUCAAAGCUUCUCAUCAAGGAUAAAUGCUGGAGAUUAAGUGCAACUGCUGCCUUAAAACACCCAUGGUUAUCAGACCACAAGCUCCACUGCAGACUCCAGAAGGCGGCUAAAGGCGACUCUGCCUCCCAACCACCUCCGGCUCAAUAACCGUUCUCAAAGAGCUGCCAAACAGAAGAAAAGCUGCUGUGUGGUUACUGCUGCUAGGAGAUUUGAAAAUAUCAGCAGUCUUGGUGCUUUACCCCACUGCCGUGACUGAGACUUCUAAACGGACCAACAGCACUUUAGCCGCAGAACAUUGCUGAGCUGCUGCUUCUCUAUUCAGCUGUUGAAAGAAGGAAAGUAUUUCUCCAGGUCACAGGAAGGUGUUUCUUAUGGAGCACCAUGUUCUUCAUGUCUGGGGGCACUGCAUUAGCUUGAAUUUGUAACGAACCUUUCACCUUACCUUACAUCCUCAUUUACUUAUUGAAGGCUCAAAUUAUAAGGUUAAAUUGACUGUUUCUCAUGUCAGCCUAGAAGGCAGUCUGUCACUGUGUUGUAUCUGUAUCCAAGGUUGAUUUGACACUGGAGUCAAAUAAUUUAAAAAAAAAAAAAGAAAAGAAAAGGAGAAAUUGCAGCCAAUUUAAAGCUGCCUUAUGUAGAGGAUUUGAAGUUUGUUUUUCCUGUCACACUAAAAUGAGCUAAGGAUUAGCUCAACCAAAGUUAAAUCUGUGUUAAUGUAACACCAGUGGAAGUGAGAAAUGAGGCUUUCCUUGCACAUAGGCGAGUUUGCUGCAGCCGUGGUAUGAUAUACUUCAGGAUUUUUUAGCCUGAUGAAUUACUGUUCCUUUAAAUGCAUUUUGAUUAAUUAAACAAGCAAGAGAACAAGGCACUAUUCACUUGUACCUGUGCAGACUGUCUUUUCCAAUGGGCAGGUAUAAUUCGGAGUUAUUUUAACAGAAGGUGAUUUUAUACCAGCUAAUUUGUUUAAUGCUAAUAGGACUGAUUAAGACUAUUGGCAAAGAGAAGAUUCAGUGCUCUGCUCAUUAUAACCUCUGGACACAAAUCCAAAUGAAAAUACUCUGUUUUCUAAAGUUUUCUUAUUUUGCUCCCAGACUUUCUGAUUAUUAACUAGAUAAAGAAAUGGGAGUCAAAACAGCUGAAUUCUUUACCUGAGAUUGUCUGCGUAUGGCUCAUCGUUAGAUGAAUCUGAGUCUUAGUUGCCUAGGUUGUGAGAUUAAAAUAAUGAGACUUAUUCCCUGCUGUAUAUGGCUUUCUAACUGCUUGGUUUCAGAGCUACAUAAAUGCAAAGUAUAGUGAGUAUUCUAUUCAGUAAUGCUGACGUUUUGUGGUGCCUUUAGAUUUCCUUUGAUUAAUCCAGUUCUGAUCGACUACAUAUUAAUAUAGCUAUCGCUAUAUAUUUAUCUAUACAUUUCAUAUGUAUUUAUAUUUAAAUUAUGUCUUUUUUUUUUUAAAGGGGAUCAACAUAAAGACAAACCAGUAUUAUUCAUAAUCACCCAAUGAAUUGUUUUCCAUACCUUUGUCCUUUUUGGAUAGUAUUCAUGUUGAAAUAAAAGGGGCCCAUUAAUGGGACAUCAUGGCCAUGACAUUCUCUACAGCCAGUUUGAUCCAGUGUUUUAAAGCCAUCGUAGUAGAUCUCUUAAGACUGCUCCUGUAAAUGAAUAGGGCUUCUUACAGCUGUGGAAUCUAAGAAAUACUGAUGUGUUGUACUAGUGGUUGCAAAUAUAUGAGACCCAUUACUAUUAUCACACAAUAACUCACCAUGUAACUUUGAUACCAUGUAGAGCACUGCCACCUUCAAGUGCUUAUUUGUAGUCUUAAAUAAAGUAAACUUUGACUAGCAGGAAGUUUCUUUGGGAAAAGACUAAGCAGUCUGAAAGGAAGAAAACGAGCAUAUGACUUUUAGGUAGAAACAGGGCUGCUUAUUGUUAGUUACCAUUUAUGUUUGCCUGUGCAAAAUAAAUAGAAAAGCUACUUUUCUGUCAGGGCUGGAGUUCCCACUCCUGUUCUGACUGCCCUCAAGAUGCUGUAGCUUUUUGCACAGUAAACAAUUCGAUGAUCCUAUUGAAAUGCAGCAAACCACUUUGGAAUGACAAGAUCUCAUUAUGCACUUUAGUGGCAGUAUUGUAGGAUUGGGUUGGGGGUUUUGUUUUUCAUGUGGUAGAUUUUACAUGGGUGUGAAUAAAUUGCAUGUAAUUUUGAAUCUUAUUAACUAUACUAAAAUAACAGUGUGACUACAGUCUUAUCUGCUUUGUUGCUCAGUUGAAUUAAGAGGAUUUGUAAUUUAUGGAUAUAUACAUCUGAGUAGUAAUUAAGAGCUUAGUGCUAUAAAGGUCAGCCGUCUCAUCCGUAAAAUGCUCUGUCAGAAAUACACACACGUGGAUUACUAGGGAGGUUGGAAGAACUUGGCGUACUUCACACACCAUGAGAGGUUAGUCCCUUUUAUAAAGCAUGAGUUGAGGAGAAGGCACCUCACUAGCUUCUUUCUUGUGCAACAGGGCGGUGUGCUAAUGUACUGAAGGGAUUUAACUUUCAUACUAACAUGGAUAAUGAUGCUCACACUCUUGAGUCUUAUCUGUAAAUUGUCCCACUGUUUCAUCCUUGGAACAGCUCCUGUGAGUGGGGGAUGAAGUUGAGGUGGGGACAGUAGGAGGAGGUUGGACUGAACGAGUCUCUACAGUGACUGAAGGUGCCAUUUGGUGCCCAGUGUUAAGCAUAAGCAUAGGCCUUCAGGUGUCCAGCGGAGGAGUUAAAAAUCCCUAGCAUACUUCUUGUUACUGCUCCAUAGACUAGAUUUGUGGCACUGAGUCAAAAGGGAGGCACAUUACCAAUAUCAUUAUCACUGUAAGGAUAAAAAAAAUAUACUGCUGUGUAAUUAUGAUUGCUAUGUAUAGCAAUAUGCCUGAGAAAAAUGUUUCCAGAGAUGUUUGUUUGUAUCUUUUCUGGCUGUUGUAAUUUUAGCUAAAUAAUAACUUGACACAGCUUCUUUUUAGUGGCCUUCUAAUUCUGUCUCAUUGCACUUUGAGCAGCAUGCUGUUUUGUGUGUCUGUUGGUGUGUGGAAGUUUGCUUUUGGUUCUGUUUUACUUUGUCCCAUCCCUGGAAGUGUUCAAGGCCAGGCUGGAUGGGGGUUCUAAGCAGCCUGAUCUAGUGGAAGACGUCCCUGUCCAUGGCACGGGGUUUGGAACUCAAUGAUCUUUAAGGUCCUUUCCAGACCAAACCAGUCAGUGAUUCUAUGAUUUAAAUAUGUUCUCUAAUGACUAAUAGCUAGAGAUUGCUAUAUUAAAUUAUUGUUUUGACACAUAAUUAUUUAUUUUCUACUAGGUAAUAACGAUAAAUUGCCUAGGUUCUAAUAUGUCUAUGCAUCUAUGUGAGUUUGCUCAUUAUAAUUUUAUUGUGUAUCAGUUUAGGCAAUUGCAUUUGGAAACUGUGAAUUACUGUGCUUGAGAGCAGAUUUGGGUGUGAACGGCACUGUACUAACUGUCAUUACUCCAUUUACCUGUAUACCUACAUUCAGUUAGAGAUGGCUGCAUGUACAAGAGUGAUACAGAAAUAUCACUUGUGGAAGGGAUAAAGUGUCAAGAUGCGGUACUGGGUCUGUGUACACCACUGUAUUUUUUCCGAUGUGUAAAAGUUAAAAGCCAUAUCAUGGGAACAUAGUGAUUUAUAUUAGGUGGUGAUUUGACCUCCAGGUUUCCAUACAGACUCCCUGCUGGACUGCAAAAAAAGGAGAGGUCUUUCUGUUUGAAAAGGCAGUUUUAGCAGUAAUGUUACAAAGGGGAUGUUCUGCAGGCAAAACCUGCAGGAAGUCACUGGAAGUUGAAGGCACCCUGUGACUGACAGGUUUUCCCAGUCACAGAUGUAACUGUACUCAGAAAAGCAUGUCAAGCACUGAAAGACAGGUGUCACAUGGUGCUCAUGAGGAUUAGGAUGCUGUUAUUCCCAUUUCUACAGAUGCAGCAGAGAGAUUCAGCUAGAGGAAACCUCAGAGAAUUUUGCCCAAGGUAUGCUACAGUAGUCUGACUUUAGCAUCUGGAUUAGAAGCGAAUUUAUUUGGCUCGGAGUGGGACACUCUUGGCUUUUCAACUCUUUUUACAUAGUGAAUAUACCAGAUGCUCUGAAAUGGGUAAAAACCUUUACUGCUGAAAGACGUCCACAUUAUCAUGUCCAUGUUUGUGAGCACCUGCAGCCAGUUGCUUCCCAGAGUACCCUCACAGCAUAAGCAGUUGGCAGUCUGUGGUAAUCCCCUCUGCAGACUACAACAGAAGCUACUUCUUAAUUUCUUUUUCAUAUUCCUUCUAAUGUCAGAAGCUGAAUAAAGUUAAAGCCUAAGCUAAAUUCUGCUAUAACUUGAUUCCAAGCAGAAAUAACAGUGUAGCUCCACAGAAUUAAAUAACUGAAGUGCUUGGUUUAACUUUUGUGAUGUGAGUAGUACAAAAGCUCAGUUUAAUCCACAAUCCCUGUCAAAAAAAAAUCUACUUUCCUGACCAGUAAAAAUAAAAAGAACCUGAUUUUUUUUUUUAACAGCUAAGGAAUCUCCAUCGACAUACGGUUUUUAUGCAGUGGUUAAACUGCUGCAGUAGGAGUCAGGGUAUUUUAGCAUCUUCAAUUUAAUGCUGAUAUUACAAAUCACUGACAGCAUCUUUCAGCUGGAGUUGUGAGAAAAGUAGGUGUUUGUCAGCUCUAAUCUGCUGAUGGUGACCUGGAAGCAUCCCAUCCCUUCCUGUGGCACCACCAGUAAGCAGGGAAAUUCCUAGCUUGUGAACUCUGAAUAUGUGUUAACACUUGAAGUUUUGCUUAGUGUCAAACCUAGAGUAGUGGUGAAUGAAUGAGCACCGAUGCUCUAAACUCCUUCCAGUAGGAUGCUGCAUCUUCACAUACUAGUUAUGUCAUCACCAUAGAUACUUGUCCUUGUGUCUUGUGUGAAUCAAACUAAACAUUGCAUGAAUCCAUUUAGGGACGUUGUUAGACUAUUUCACCUUCCAUGAAGGCUUGGUAGCUGAACAAUUACCUACCUGUUUCAAAUCUUAGAGGAAGACUGGUAGAGAUAAUGCUUUGUAAAUAUGUUCUUUAGGUUUGUCCUUGGAGUUAGUGAUCACAUUUUGGUGUGGCAGAACUAAGGUUUGGGUACCCCAGAGCAACUUCUCUUGAAUUUAGAUGUCAGGCAUGUGAGUACAGAAUUAUGAAGCAUGUGAAUAUUCAUGUACCAUAUCACUUUGGCUUGCAUAUCUGGUUUUGUAGAUUAACUCAUGUACCUCUGGUAUGAAUUCUUUUGUCAAAAACAUGAAGCAACCUUGUAAAAAGAUGACUGAGGAAUAAAUGCUGAUUUUGUUUA